AUGUUAUAAUAAACAGGUCUGAUUUGUUAAAAUAAUAAAAGAAAUGACCAAAUUACCCUUGAGGAAAAGGACAAACCGGGUUUUUUUAAGAAAUCUGACCUAAUUUGAGAUUUGGACCAAAAUGGCAAUAAAAGUGAAACCACAUAGACCCAGAUUUAAAAAGUUUGAGAUUUGGACUAAAAUGGCAAAAGUGCCCAAACCACAGGGACCAAAAUGGCAGUUUACUCUUUACUUUUUGUAAAAUGGGUUUGCAGUGAUUUUUAUUUUAUAUGUUUGCAAGUAAAACAUAUAUGUGUGAAACCCCUGCACUAUAUAAAAGUUAGAAUGAAAUACUAAUAUAACAAGUUGGUGCUGCCAGAACUAGAGUAUUUUUAUGUUACACAUAAAGGAUACAUAAAUAUCACUAUGCACUAUUUGGAUCCAACAAUACAAGACAAAGAACAGUCUACUUUAUGAUAUUUAGAUUUUUUUCGUAUGAAAUCAAAGAAGAUUAAGAGCAGCAUAAGCAUCAAGACCAAAAUUCACGGUUCUUAAUGGCGUACCCGCCUGUUUCCUGUUUUUGAAUGUUCUUCAGGUAAUCAAGAGUCCACUUUUCAUAUGUACAAUCCACAAAGUCAUAGUAGCCACCAUGGAGAGAAAGCAGACCUUUUGCCACCCGUUCUUUGACCCACGGGUACGUAAGCAAGUUCAUCAGUGAGUUAUUUAUUGAUUCCUGCAAAAUUGCAAGCCAAAAGUCAAACUUACUACAUUUGAGUUCAAAUUUUGGCCGAAUUUAAUUCCAACAUACUUCUAGAUGUGGCGUUUAGUAUCAAGUUCGAUGUGCUUGUUAAAAUCACUGAAUGCAUAUCGAUUGACGGUUAGAAGCAGUGGCCUUUGUGGUUGA
RNAcentral lists this long non-coding RNA (883 nucleotides) under Helianthus annuus (common sunflower). RNAcentral's name for it is "hypothetical non coding rna". The record is from RNAcentral. Lineage: Eukaryota; Viridiplantae; Streptophyta; Magnoliopsida; Asterales; Asteraceae.